RNAcentral lists this long non-coding RNA (548 nucleotides) under Mytilus galloprovincialis (Mediterranean mussel). Lineage: Eukaryota; Metazoa; Mollusca; Bivalvia; Mytilida; Mytilidae. The record is from RNAcentral.
UGAAAGUGAUCGUUCAUUAAAGAGAUAUUCAUUAUAUGGAAGGGUAAUCCCUUUUUGAGGGGUUGUUCCCAACCUGUUGAUAUAUUUCCACAUGAAACAAUCCAGAAGGUUUUUUUUUUAUUUAAAAAAGGCAGCAGUUAUGCCUGUCGUUUGAAACCUGGUAAAAAAAACGUAGAGAAACACUCACACACCUCAACAAUGACAAAUAUAUGGGGUUUUCUAUUAUAUUUGACAAUAGAUUAUGCCAGUUAUUUAAUAAUCUGGGAAACAACAUUCCCUAUACAAGUCGCCACUUUUCUCCUGAUACCAAAGUGUUCAUAAAAGAAAGAAGAAGGAGUUUUAAAACAAAAAAGGAUUUAUACUCGGUCUUGAAACACAUUGUCCCAAAAUUCGGUAAUGACAAUUAUGUCCGGAGGUAGAAAUAAUAAUGGAAACAUAUUCAGACAUCUGAUACGUUCAGGUAUUUCGCAUCCAAUCUUUUAUGGUGCAAUUCGUCACAAAGCACAAAUAUUUCGGAUUUCACUUCAAAAGCUAACUAAAACUUUAAA